RNAcentral lists this transfer RNA (73 nucleotides) under Actinoplanes utahensis. It matches the Rfam family "tRNA". Rfam says of the family: Transfer RNA (tRNA) molecules are approximately 80 nucleotides in length. Lineage: Bacteria; Bacillati; Actinomycetota; Actinomycetes; Micromonosporales; Micromonosporaceae. The record is from Rfam by way of RNAcentral.
GCGGGUGUAGCUCAACCGGAAGAGCCCUGGAUUCCAACUCCGGUAGAUGCGGGUUCGACUCCUGCUGCCCGUG